GCGGUUGACUGGAAAAAUCGAAGGAGCAAAAUCAUAGCGCACGCAGAUUUCUGAAGAAAAAAUAUUAAUUGCAAUUGCAUUUGGAGACAAAAAAUAAAUUCCAAACUAAUAAAAUUACGUGAGUUCUGCGUGAAGAAUUUUCGGUGAUAAUAAAAACCCAAUUGUCCCGCUGUACAAAAGCCGAAACCAGUUGGUUGGUGAAGAUAAAAAACGGUUAAAACCAUCAGAAAUACAUUUAACCACAAAGCAAAGAGCAUACAAAACUGUAAUUGACAAAACGGAACUAACAGUAAUAGUAGUUUUCAAUCAGUAAAUCAUACACGCUCCAGAUCGUUUGCAGCUCUAACCUAAAAAACAAAAAAACCAACAAAUACAAGUUCCAACGCUAGUUUCCCAACUUCGCUAAGACAGCACCAACAAAGCGCACAGCAAAUUAAAAAGCGUCAGCAUCAUGACUAUGGCUGGGCAGACCAUCAACGAUCGGCUAUUGGCGGCGCGGCAUAGCUUGGCCGGUCAAGGCCUGGCUAAGUCGGUGUGCAAGGCCACCACAGAGGAGUGCAUCGGACC
This 567-nucleotide long non-coding RNA is filed under the name Rhagoletis pomonella (apple maggot). RNAcentral describes it as "uncharacterized LOC118753125". Lineage: Eukaryota; Metazoa; Arthropoda; Insecta; Diptera; Tephritidae. The record is from RNAcentral.